UGGAGGGCAAGUCUGGUGCCAGCGGCCGCGGUAAUUCCAGCUCCAAUAGCGUAUAUUAAAGUUGUUGCAGUUAAAAAGCUCGUAGUUGAAUUUCGGGAUUUGUCAGUUGGUCGGGCUUAACUGUCCGUAUUGACUCGAUGGAUUCUUACCUUCUGAAUAACCAGCAUGCUACUAAUUUAGUGCGUUGGGGAAGCAGAUCUAUUACCUUGAAAAAAUUAGAGUGCUUAAAGCGAGCUAGUGCUUGAAUAGAUUAGCAUGGAAUAAUAAAAUAGGACGGCAUGGUUCUAUUUUGUUGGUUUCUAGGAUCACCGUAAUGAUUAAUAGGGAUAGUUGGGGGCAUUAGUAUUCAAUUGUCAGAGGUGAAAUUCUUGGAUUUAUUGAAGACUAACUUCUGCGAAAGCAUUUGCCAAGGAUGUUUUCAUUAAUCAAGAACGAAAGUUAGGGGAUCGAAGACGAUCAGAUACCGUCGUAGUCUUAACCAUAGACCAUGCCGACUAGGAAUCGGACGAUGUUAAUUUUAUAAUGACUCGUUCGGCACCUUACGGGAAAC
This 550-nucleotide ribosomal RNA is filed under the name uncultured Glomus. Its description in RNAcentral is "SSU rRNA". It matches the Rfam family "Eukaryotic small subunit ribosomal RNA", at positions 549 to 1098 of the family's 1831-position model. The record is from RNAcentral. Lineage: Eukaryota; Fungi; Glomeromycota; Glomeromycetes; Glomerales; Glomeraceae.